AUUUUUAUAAAUAAAUAAAUUUCAAAAUCAAAAUAAUAUUUUAAUAUUAGUAAUAUUAGAAAAUAUUAGUAAUA
RNAcentral lists this transfer RNA (74 nucleotides) under Tarenaya hassleriana. RNAcentral describes it as "tRNA-Phe". The record is from RNAcentral. Lineage: Eukaryota; Viridiplantae; Streptophyta; Magnoliopsida; Brassicales; Cleomaceae.